Long non-coding RNA from Anopheles arabiensis, 2157 nucleotides. RefSeq lists it as uncharacterized. NCBI's taxonomy places the organism in Eukaryota, Metazoa, Arthropoda, Insecta, Diptera, Culicidae. The record is from RefSeq and is a predicted model, not a curated record. The transcript has 2 exons.
GUUGACCACUUUACCAUGAGACCGGCUAAUAAACAGUUCAUGAAAUUUAUGAAUUUACUCAAACAUUACUUCAGUGGCGGUCGUCCCUACUCGGAAAUUUUAUAAUUCAUAUUCAAUUGUUCCAGAUAUCUGCUAACUUUCAGGCUACCUGGACAGUUCUUUAAACUUCGAUGCUGCAUUUUGACAACGGUAAUGACUAAUAACGGUAAAUCAAAAUGUAUCGCUACAUACACAAUUUUUGGCAAGAUAUGUGGCCAUUUUGUUGAGGAAAAGAGACUAACAUCGACCUCAUACAAUUCAUACCUUUUUUGAGUGCUUAGUUUUUCAUGCAUUUUAAAUAUAUAGAGUUCUGAACGUCUAUUAUCCGGGGGCGGAUUAACCGGCGGGUGGCUUAACCGUGCGCACAAAUGUGAUCUCAAAGAACCUGUCGCUACAGACAAAGCUGUGACUAAAUAGCACUUAUUUACCGGUACUCACAUAUGCCUUUCAUACAAGGAAACUGUCCAAAUCUGACGAAACUCUCUAGGCCGCGUUUGAGAUGCUCAACAGGAUUGUUUGCUCCGUAUGUGAUGAAGGUGUCCGCCAUGAAGGCUGGGAUAACGAAUUGGCUGACGAAGGUACGAGAUCGUCAGGGGUUUCGGAUACUCGUGAAACUACUUGAUAAUUAGAUCUAUUCUUCAAAUCUUUGUUGACGAUUUUCGUUUGGCAAAAAUACCACACGUAUCACUCCUUCCUUGCUAGGUGUGCAAGAAAGCUGAAACACGUAAAGGUUAAAGAAACAACAUCAACAGCGUUAAUAACAUCUAACGUAACGCUCUAUACUAAGAAUGACUAAGAAAUGAGCACCUUCAAGUAAAAUUUAUAAAACGAGUUUCUCUUUUUAAUCCAAGACUGCAUGAUCAUUUUCCAAUUCAUUCAGAAGCAAUUUAGUUGGUUGAAAAUGUUGACAUUACAGGGUUCAUAAUGGAAUCAUACAAUGGACUACUUGAUCCGCUCGAGGGAAUGUUUGAAAUAGUUAGGGGAUUUUUGCAAUGUUGCUAUGGAGGUUUGUAGGCAUAUAGCGGAAUCUUAUAAACGCAUAGGAGAUGUUUUCAAAACAGUUAUGACGUUUUGCAACCAGCUAUGGAGCGAUCGGUUGUAGCGCUGUAGAAAUUAAAUUGAGACCUUUUUUGUUCAGAACCUCGUUAUGAUUUGUGAGUUUGGGGUGAUUAUACACACGUUUUUAGUAUCAUCGUGCAAAAUAAUGAAUCAUUUGUAAUUUUCAUUUGCUGCUAAAACAUUCUUCUAUAUUACAUUCUAUACUCUACUAUGACGCAUCCUCCGGAACAUCUUUAUGUUCGAGCAUGGAGUUUGGAGGAGAAGGAUGAACCACGAGCUUGCUGAUCUGUACGGCAAAUCGAGUAUCCUGACGGUGGUAUUAGGCGCAUGGGAGUACUGCGAACGCGAUGGCUGGAUCAGGUGAAGCGAGACCUGUCGGAGAUCGUGUGUCUACAUGGAUGAGAGGCUGCAGCCAGGGUCCGAGCAUCCUGGAGAAUGAUGAUUGACCGAGCCAUGUCACUUCGACGUGCUCUAUCGUGAGCAGGCCAACAAUAGAGAGUUCAUUAAGUUCAUAUGCAAGAAGAUAGGUAAUGAAGCAGGAGAGCGCAUUUGAGUGGCAAGGUUUGAUUUCUGUUUAGCCCGACAGAUUUAUAAUUUCUUGGAUAUUUUCGCUAAUCUCUGCAUAGCAUAGAAGAAGUCCGUACCACAUAUUACUAGUUCAUAACGGAAUGGUCUUAGAUUCAUAGCGGUGCCAUUAUACAUAAAUGGUGGUAAAUGUCGAAGAAUAUGUGUAUAGUAAGGACCAGUGGUAUAUUUAUUUUGCUUAGUGUGUAGGUUGUAUAUUUGUUGAUGGAAAAGUAUUCGUAUACCCAAUCCCGUUAUCUUUCACGAAAGUUCGCGUGCUAAACAAAGAUUGUUCAUACUUUAGUGAAAUGUGUAUUCAAAGCGCAGUUGUUUAUUCAGAAAAUAAAAAGCACUUGCAUGAGGAACUUCAGGCGGUAAAAUGUACUUACUUCAAAUGUACUUACCCAUGUAAUGGAGACUAACGCUUGUAGUCUGAAAGAAUACUGUCAAUUUGAGGCAAUAAAAGCAUGGAUCUGUAAUGCUAUUUAGUGGAAA